AGAUUAAGUUAUUAAGGGCGCACGGUGGAUGCCUUGGCACUAGAAGCCGAUGAAGGACGUUACUAACGACGAUAUGCUUUGGGGAGCUGUAAGUAAGCUUUGAUCCAGAGAUUUCCGAAUGGGGAAACCCAGCAUGAGUUAUGUCAUGUUAUCGAUAUGUGAAUACAUAGCAUAUCAGAAGGCACACCCGGAGAACUGAAACAUCUUAGUACCCGGAGGAAGAGAAAGAAAAUUCGAUUCCCUUAGUAGCGGCGAGCGAAACGGGAAGAGCCCAAACCAACAAGCUUGCUUGUUGGGGUUGUAGGACACUCUAUACGGAGUUACAAAGGACGACAUUAGACGAAUCAUCUGGAAAGAUGAAUCAAAGAAGGUAAUAAUCCUGUAGUCGAAAAUGUUGUCUCUCUUGAGUGGAUCCUGAGUACGACGGAGCACGUGAAAUUCCGUCGGAAUCUGGGAGGACCAUCUCCUAAGGCUAAAUACUCUCUAGUGACCGAUAGUGAACCAGUACCGUGAGGGAAAGGUGAAAAGCACCCCGGAAGGGGAGUGAAAUAGAACCUGAAACCGUGUGCUUACAAGUAGUCAGAGCCCGUUAAUGGGUGAUGGCGUGCCUUUUGUAGAAUGAACCGGCGAGUUACGAUUUGAUGCAAGGUUAAGCAGUAAAUGUGGAGCCGUAGCGAAAGCGAGUCUGAAUAGGGCGUUUAGUAUUUGGUCGUAGACCCGAAACCAGGUGAUCUACCCUUGGUCAGGUUGAAGUUCAGGUAACACUGAAUGGAGGACCGAACCGACUUACGUUGAAAAGUGAGCGGAUGAACUGAGGGUAGCGGAGAAAUUCCAAUCGAACCUGGAGAUAGCUGGUUCUCUCCGAAAUAGCUUUAGGGCUAGCCUCAAGUGAUGAUUAUUGGAGGUAGAGCACUGUUUGGACGAGGGGCCCUCUCGGGUUACCGAAUUCAGACAAACUCCGAAUGCCAAUUAAUUUAACUUGGGAGUCAGAACAUGGGUGAUAAGGUCCGUGUUCGAAAGGGAAACAGCCCAGACCACCAGCUAAGGUCCCAAAAUAUAUGUUAAGUGGUAAAGGAUGUGGCGUUGCCCAGACAACUAGGAUGUUGGCUUAGAAGCAGCCAUCAUUUAAAGAGUGCGUAAUAGCUCACUAGUCGAGUGACACUGCGCCGAAAAUGUACCGGGGCUAAACAUAUUACCGAAGCUGUGGAUUGUCCUUUGGACAAUGGUAGGAGAGCGUUCUAAGGGCGUUGAAGCAUGAUCGUAAGGACAUGUGGAGCGCUUAGAAGUGAGAAUGCCGGUGUGAGUAGCGAAAGACGGGUGAGAAUCCCGUCCACCGAUUGACUAAGGUUUCCAGAGGAAGGCUCGUCCGCUCUGGGUUAGUCGGGUCCUAAGCUGAGGCCGACAGGCGUAGGCGAUGGAUAACAGGUUGAUAUUCCUGUACCACCUAUAAUCGUUUUAAUCGAUGGGGGGACGCAGUAGGAUAGGCGAAGCGUGCGAUUGGAUUGCACGUCUAAGCAGUAAGGCUGAGUAUUAGGCAAAUCCGGUACUCGUUAAGGCUGAGCUGUGAUGGGGAGAAGACAUUGAGUCUUCGAGUCGUUGAUUUCACACUGCCGAGAAAAGCCUCUAGAUAGAAAAUAGGUGCCCGUACCGCAAACCGACACAGGUAGUCAAGAUGAGAAUUCUAAGGUGAGCGAGCGAACUCUCGUUAAGGAACUCGGCAAAAUGACCCCGUAACUUCGGGAGAAGGGGUGCUCUUUAGGGUUAACGCCCAGAAGAGCCGCAGUGAAUAGGCCCAAGCGACUGUUUAUCAAAAACACAGGUCUCUGCUAAACCGUAAGGUGAUGUAUAGGGGCUGACGCCUGCCCGGUGCUGGAAGGUUAAGAGGAGUGGUUAGCUUCUGCGAAGCUACGAAUCG
RNAcentral lists this ribosomal RNA (1915 nucleotides) under Staphylococcus aureus. RNAcentral's name for it is "bacterial LSU rRNA". It matches the Rfam family "Bacterial large subunit ribosomal RNA", at positions 1 to 1914 of the family's 2925-position model. Lineage: Bacteria; Bacillati; Bacillota; Bacilli; Caryophanales; Staphylococcaceae. The record is from RNAcentral.